RNAcentral lists this unclassified non-coding RNA (1284 nucleotides) under Hevea brasiliensis (rubber tree). Lineage: Eukaryota; Viridiplantae; Streptophyta; Magnoliopsida; Malpighiales; Euphorbiaceae. The record is from RNAcentral.
CUCCUGUGCAAAGAAUGUAAAAUAAUUACUGCAAGCAGCUGUAUUUAGCCAAAAAAAAAUAAAAAAAGCCUGCUAGCACCAUCAUUUGCUUUACAUCAUAGAUGAUGAAAACUAACUCCUAAAAGUACAAGCUCUGAAUUAUCAGGUAAAAGGUCAACUGGUGACCAUAAUAUCCUGUGCUUUAAAUGCCUGGGGAUCAACUCCCACAUCCCUGAACAAAUCUAGUAAAAAUGUGUGUGACCAAAAGAAACACGUUCUAUACAUACCAGAUUUUCCCCCUUUCACACUUGCCACCAUUUUCGAUUCUCCAUUGCCUUAACAAGCUCAUUUGCCAAUGAUGCGAAGUCUUCAGCUCCAUUUUGCAGCUCUGCAGUGCGCCUGCUGAUUCUCUCCAAUUUUUCUUGUCUUUCCACAAGCUUGUUUCUUGCGUGUGCAGCAACUGACGAGGCAUCCCCAGCUUUUCUAUAUUGAGCUAUAAUUUCUUCAGGUGUCCUUAGUCUGGGUUUUAUAUCAUCAGCCCUGCCUAAUAACUGUUCCCUUUCUGUAUCCUUCUCUCUCUUUAUAUUUUUCACUUCCUGCGAUGUAGUUACCGUGGGCAGAGGUGAUUCAUCUAUCUCAAUAUCAUCUAUAUUAAGCUCUACAGCUUCCUGAAUAUCAGUAACAGCUGGAGAUGAUUCUGAGAAUGGUGGCUUCGAGAAAAUGUCCUCCAGGUGACUAAAAUUGGAUUGAGGUGUUGGAGUAAUAUCCGUGGUCUGCGCUAAUUUUGCAGCUUUAAAGCCUUUGACAAUACCGGCUAGAAUCCCAGGCUUAAUACCCUGCUUCUGCUUCUGAUUGGAAGAGAAACUGAUGGCUGCAUCUGCAGCAGCAGCAAGGACCUUAUCAUGAAGACAAGGAAGAGACUCUGGAAUCCUGAAACCAUUUUCACCAGACAGUAGCGAGGCGAAGGCCAACUCACACCCAUUUGCCAAUGUAAUCAGCCCAUUAUCAAAACUCAUAUUCUUCUCCAUGUUUGUUUUGUAGUUCCACCUAAGAAUUGACAUUAAGGAGCUUUCUUUCACCAAUUCCAAAUCUGGAAAAGAUCUGAUUUCAAUUGCUCCAGUCUGAAACAGCAAGAUCAGUCCACAAACUUUGUCAUCCUUCCUAAAAGUUGAAGUCCAACAGCAAGGGUUCGAAUGUUUCACUUUAAAAAUGGAUUUAUUGUUUCCCUGAAUCACACUCUUUGUAGAGUACAAGCGCAAUGAAUCCUCAAAACAAAGCAGAAUAAGUGAAUCCAUUAAUCUUUCC